CUGAGUAGACAAUGAAUGUCCCUCCCAGGAAAGAGAUAAUGCCCAUUCCUGAACUGCCCAACCUCCAGGUCCAGCCUAGCUCAAGGAUUGGCUAAACAAUCAGCCCUAGAGCAGCCAGGCUCUGCUGGGGAGGAAAGAGCCAGCUUAACUGCUUUGUGACCUUCUCUGGUCUGGCUGGCAACACCUUGAUCAAUGCAGCCCAGAAGCCUUGACCAACCUGGAAAGAGCAAAGGCAGGCAAACCACCCAUCCAUCAACUAGCCAUGGUGCACCUUGAGAGGAGCCAGCCUAGCCCAGCAGUGGAGUAACUUGUCAAUCACCAAUGCCGCCAUUAAUUUCAUGAAGACUGUGCCAAGGAAAAAGGACACUGAGGCCCUGCUACCCUCAAGUUGUAAGGUGCCUUGGCCAGGUGUGCUCCCUACCAGUAUGCCUCACUUCCACUUUAACUGACAUCCUUCUGCAUCUUCGGAGCAUGUCUUUGAGGCUCUAAUGCAUGAUCAGUUUUUCUAGAAGUUCCAUGCUGUGGAAAAAAAAAAUUGUCUCCUCAUCUACAUUUCAAUUCAGUUGAAGAAGCACCUGAAUACUCUUCAGACUUUGUGUGGAUAUCUGGUGGCAGUUCCCUUCAGAAGGAGCAUCAGCAGCCGCCGCCACCUCAACCACCACAACCCCCAGCGUCUCACCGGCACUCAGAACCCCGUGCUAGCAGCGCCGCGCCGAGCUCAGCCAAGUAAUCUUGCCUUUGGAGACCCGCGAGGAGCAGACAGCGAACACUGAGCCUUGCGGGGUGCUG
RNAcentral lists this long non-coding RNA (789 nucleotides) under Monodelphis domestica (gray short-tailed opossum). Its description in RNAcentral is "lncRNA (ENSMODG00000043044.1)". Lineage: Eukaryota; Metazoa; Chordata; Mammalia; Didelphimorphia; Didelphidae. The record is from RNAcentral.